This 253-nucleotide ribosomal RNA is filed under the name uncultured bacterium. RNAcentral's name for it is "partial 16S ribosomal RNA". It matches the Rfam family "Bacterial small subunit ribosomal RNA", at positions 524 to 776 of the family's 1533-position model. The record is from RNAcentral.
UACGAAGGGGGCUAGCGUUGCUCGGAAUUACUGGGCGUAAAGCGCACGUAGGCGGAUUGUUAAGUCGGGGGUGAAAUCCUGGAGCUCAACUCCAGAACUGCCUUCGAUUCUGGCGAUCUCGAGUUCGGGAGAGGUGAGUGGAACUGCGAGUGUAGAGGUGAAAUUCGUAGAUAUUCGCAAGAACACCAGUGGCGAAGGCGGCUCACUGGCCCGAUACUGACGCUGAGGUGCGAAAGCGUGGGGAGCAAACAGG